GGGCGACUAGCUCAGUGGAUAGAGCGUUGGUCUCCGGAACCAAAGGUCCUGGGUUCGAUUCCCAGGUCGCCCUCCA
RNAcentral lists this transfer RNA (76 nucleotides) under Deltaproteobacteria bacterium. RNAcentral's name for it is "tRNA-Arg". It matches the Rfam family "tRNA". Rfam says of the family: Transfer RNA (tRNA) molecules are approximately 80 nucleotides in length. Their secondary structure includes four short double-helical elements and three loops (D, anti-codon, and T loops). The record is from RNAcentral. RNAcentral also lists the same sequence under 1 other name. Lineage: Bacteria; Pseudomonadati; Myxococcota; Myxococcia.